This 301-nucleotide ribosomal RNA is filed under the name uncultured bacterium. Its description in RNAcentral is "partial 16S ribosomal RNA". It matches the Rfam family "Bacterial small subunit ribosomal RNA", at positions 509 to 807 of the family's 1533-position model. The record is from RNAcentral.
CAGUCGCCGCGGGAACACGUAGGUCCCGAGCGUUGUCUGGAUUUAUUGGGCGUAAAGGGAGCGCAGGCGGUUUAGUAAGUCUGAUGUGAAAGCCCACGGCUCAACCGUGGAGGGUCAUUGGAAACUGUUAAACUUGAGUGCAGGAGAGAAAAGUGGAAUUCCUAGUGUAGCGGUGAAAUGCGUAGAGAUUAGGAGGAACACCAGUGGCGAAGGCGGCUUUUUGGCCUGUAACUGACACUGAGGCGCGAAAGCGUGGGGAGCAAACAGGAUUAGAGACCCGAGUAGUCCCUGUCUCUUAUAC